RNAcentral lists this ribosomal RNA (482 nucleotides) under uncultured bacterium. RNAcentral describes it as "partial 16S ribosomal RNA". It matches the Rfam family "Bacterial small subunit ribosomal RNA", at positions 30 to 507 of the family's 1533-position model. The record is from RNAcentral.
AUUGAACGCUGGCGGCAUGCCUUACACAUGCAAGUCGAAUGGUAACAGGUCUUCGUAUGCUGACGAGUGGCGAACGGGUGAGUAAUACAUCGGAACGUGCCCGAUCGUGGGGGAUAACGAAGCGAAAGCUUUGCUAAUACCGCAUACGAUCUACGGAUGAAAGCAGGGGACCGCAAGGCCUUGCGCGAACGGAGCGGCCGAUGGCAGAUUAGGUAGUUGGUGGGAUAAAAGCUUACCAAGCCGACGAUCUGUAGCUGGUCUGAGAGGACGACCAGCCACACUGGGACUGAGACACGGCCCAGACUCCUACGGGAGACAGCAGUGGGGAAUUUUGGACAAUGGGCGAAAGCCUGAUCCAGUCAUGCCGCGUGCAGGAUGAAGGCCUUCGGGUUGUAAACUGCUUUUGUACGGAACGAAAAGACUCUGGUUAAUACCUGGGGUCCAUGACGGUACCGUAAGAAUAAGCACCGGCUAACUACGUG